Molecule: non-coding RNA, 360 nt
Organism: Nannospalax galili (Upper Galilee mountains blind mole rat)
Lineage: Eukaryota; Metazoa; Chordata; Mammalia; Rodentia; Spalacidae
Source: the annotation of a RefSeq genome assembly
AUGAGGGACCCUUCUCAGCUCCUGGGGCUUCUCCUGCUCUGCUUUUCAGGUGUGAGAUGUGACAUCCUAAUGACUCAGUCUCCAUCCUUGCUGUCUGCAUCUCUGGGAGAUAGAGUCACCAUGACUUGCAAGGCCAGUCAAAGAAUUGGUAAUAUGUUAGCUUGGUAUCAGCGGAAACCAGAGGAAGCUCCAAAAUGCCUGAUCUACAAUACAUCUGCUCUGGAAAAUCAGAUCCCAUCAAGGUUCAGUGGCAGUGAAUUUGGUACAAAUUAUACACUCACAAUUAACAACCUGGAGUCUGAGGACAUUGCCACUUACUACUGUCAACAGGGUUAUUGUACCACUCCCAGGGAAGCAUAA